GGCGCUAUAGCCAAGUGGUUACGGCGACAGAUUCGAAUCUCGUAAAAGCCAAUAAUUGUAAUCUGUUCCUCUUUGAGGGCGCAGGUUCAAAUCCUGCUGGCGUCG
Molecule: transfer RNA, 105 nt
Filed under: Marasmius sp. AFHP31
Lineage: Eukaryota; Fungi; Basidiomycota; Agaricomycetes; Agaricales; Marasmiaceae
Description: tRNA-Ser
Rfam family: tRNA
About the family: Transfer RNA (tRNA) molecules are approximately 80 nucleotides in length. Their secondary structure includes four short double-helical elements and three loops (D, anti-codon, and T loops). Further hydrogen bonds mediate the characteristic L-shaped molecular structure. tRNAs have two regions of fundamental functional importance: the anti-codon, which is responsible for specific mRNA codon recognition, and the 3' end, to which the tRNAs corresponding amino acid is attached (by aminoacyl-tRNA synthetases). tRNAs cope with the degeneracy of the genetic code in two manners: having more than one tRNA (with a specific anti-codon) for a particular amino acid; and 'wobble' base-pairing, i.e. permitting non-standard base-pairing at the 3rd anti-codon position.
Source: RNAcentral